Molecule: long non-coding RNA, 3960 nt
Filed under: Brassica napus (rape)
Lineage: Eukaryota; Viridiplantae; Streptophyta; Magnoliopsida; Brassicales; Brassicaceae
Description: long non-coding RNA (BNAP_LNC021266)
Source: RNAcentral
AACCGGCAUUGCGGGAGAUGAUGAAGGAGUGACUCCAUUGGCUACAUUAGAUGAUGUUGGCACAGUCAUCCCCAUACCAUGAACGGGAAAGAGUUGUUGUGGAUGAUACCCUAAAUGGGCAGGUGGAUGAACAGAAACCGCUGGAUUAUGUGGAUACCAUUGUUGCGGUGGAGGAGGCAUAGGCCAUGCAGGACCAGGAGGCCGAAUAGAAGCACCGGGAUAGUACCUAUUGACAGAAAAUAAUAUAACAUGAUCAAAAGUGAUAAAAUAUAAAAAAUAUCUUAGAUAAGAAAACAAUAGUGGAACAGUUAUUCUAAGCCAUAGUUCUAUAUUGUACAAUCUUAAGAGCGAACUAAGGAAAAAAAAAAGAACCUUGUGGAUCAUAUUUGGUCAAAUUUUAGGACCAGGAAACGAAAAAAGUAGCUAUGGAUCAAAUUAUGAAGAAAACAGAGACAACAUCCUAAGAUCCUACAAGUCACAGCAAAACAGAGAAUAUAGUGUACAUACAUAGGUCGCACAGCACCAGGCACUUGUUGAGGUUGAUAUACCAUUCCGUAAGGUCUAGGAACUGCGGCACCAAUAGGGACGGAAGGAAUCUCAACUUUUGCAACUUUGGCUAGAGACUCUUCCUCUGGCAGAAAACACAGCGUCAGUACACUAACUAAUGCAAAAUAAAGAAGAUGACAUGAACAGUAAUGCAAACAAUAAUACAUGUCAAGUUGUCAAGUCCAUUUACCUUCUUCUCCGUAGUGAGCAGCCAAGAGAUGAGGUGGGAUUCCUUGCAUUCCGUAUAUUUCAAUAUCAGUUGAAUCUCGACCGUCUUUAGCAUUAGGAACCCUAAUGGGAAAACAUAUCAAAGUUAGAGCAGUGUAUGAAAUCAGAAGAUGUGAUGUGAGAACUAUAACAUUAUGCAUCAUCUCUAGCUACAAGCCCAAGCCCAAGCAAGAACAGCUACUAAAAGGAUCAAUUACCCUUUUUAAUACACCCAACCAAACCAAGACUUAAAAUUCGAUAUGCAAACACAUUGAACCCCCUUGAAAUCUCCCUAUCAAACAAUCAAAAGAGUGGUCCUUUCCGAUAAUGCAAUAAAGAUUCAAUUUUUUAAAUAGAAAUCAAAAGAUGAUCAGGCACAUACUUUGUAACGUUCUCUUUAUGAACCUGAAGGACAUGAAUGACCAUUCCGCUAGCUGUAGAGAGCUUCUUGUGGCAGGCAUGGCACUUGAAGUGUUUCGCUUUCUGGUGCUGCACUAGUAUCUUCUCGUCCUCGAACUCUCUGUCGCAGUAAUAGCACCACACCUUCUCCGUCGCUCUCUUCUUCUUCUUCCCCAUCACCCUGUCUGUUUAUCUCACGAAUGAUCGCUUCCCUCCCUCUCCUUCCGCUCGCUAGGGUUUCUGUUCCCACAAUCUAUUUGCUUCUGCGAUCUCUAGAUUCUUCUUCUUUUCUUUUAUUUAGAAGACGUGUCAUGAUAAGAUUAUUUUUACGGUGCUCAUUUGGAAAUUUCACCUUUUUAUGUAGGGCCAAAUUGUAAUUCUACUAUUUUAGUUCUAACUUGAACAUCAGUUUUUUUUCUUUCUUUUAACUCAUCAACAAACUUUAUAUUCACCAAAAUUGAGGACAAGGUGGUGUUUAGGGGUGUCAAAAAUGAGCUGACAACUCGCUCAACUCAGCUUAGCUCAUAGUGAGCUCAUAUAUUUCAUGAGCUAACUCAACUCAGUUCAUUUAUUAUAUGAAAUUUCAUAUGUAAAUUCGAACUCAGAUCAUCUAGUUAAAUGAGCUAACUCGCGAUUAAAUAUAAAAAAAUAAAUUAUAUAAUAUAAAAUAAAAUAAUUUUCAUAAUAUAAUUCAAAAUUUUGAAUAUUAGAAAUCCAAAACAUUAAUAUUAAACUAGAUUCUGACCCGUCCUUAUUUUUUUGUUUUACAUUUUUUUAGAAAUUUAAUUUUUAUAUUUAUGUUUUAUUAAUAUUUGUGUUUUUCUUUGUAUAAUAUAUUUAUUAUAUGAUUAAUAAGAGGUUUUAAUAAUUGUACCACACUUAUGUCAAUAGAUCUUGAUGUUGUCUUAAUAUAAUAGAUUAAAAUAAAAUAUUUAAAUUAUAACCCAUUUUGUAUUAAAAUCAUUUUUAUGCUUUAAACCUUUUUGAUACAAUUUGUUAAAAUUUACUUAUAUAAUUUGAUUUUGUUUUUUAAAUUGGAAUUAAUAUUUAUAAAUAUAUAAUAUGAAUAGUGAAUAUAAUAUGAUUAUUCAGUUGUAGUUGUUACAAAGUUGAGUAAAAUGCUAAAGUUGAUUCUAAUAUUAAAAGGUUGUCGACAUUUUUUUAGUAGGCUAGGAAGAAGUGGGUUCCUAUUAAUUUGGAAUCAAAGAAGUUGUUAUAAAUAUGUAUAAGAUAGUUAUUGUUGGACUAAACUUCGAUCUAUUGGUCAUGAUCCUGAUUUAAUAGUAUUGAUACUGAAUAAAAUCAAAACCUAAUAAUAAAUUAAAUAAAAGAUAAAUUAGUGAUCCAAAAGUCUAUUCCACAUACGAGUCUUAAGGUGAUUCAUCUUCAAAGUCUUCAUCUAUUCAAAUCAUAACGAUAUAUAUUCCGCAUGAGAGUUUGAGGAAUAUUUUGUUUUACAUUUUAAUUCUAAAGAUAUAUGAUACGAAGAUUGAUAUCAUAUUCUUUUACAUUGUUAUAUAUAUUAAAACUUUUUGGUUUUACAUUUUAAUUUUAGAAGAUAAAUAUGAUUAAUAUAAAAAGAGUUGUUGUGGAUGAUACCCUAAAUGGGCAGGUGGAUGAACAGAAACCGCUGGAUUAUGUGGAUACCAUUGUUGCGGUGGAGGAGGCAUAGGCCAUGCAGGACCAGGAGGCCGAAUAGAAGCACCGGGAUAGUACCUAUUGACAGAAAAUAAUAUAACAUGAUCAAAAGUGAUAAAAUAUAAAAAAUAUCUUAGAUAAGAAAACAAUAGUGGAACAGUUAUUCUAAGCCAUAGUUCUAUAUUGUACAAUCUUAAGAGCGAACUAAGGAAAAAAAAAAGAACCUUGUGGAUCAUAUUUGGUCAAAUUUUAGGACCAGGAAACGAAAAAAGUAGCUAUGGAUCAAAUUAUGAAGAAAACAGAGACAACAUCCUAAGAUCCUACAAGUCACAGCAAAACAGAGAAUAUAGUGUACAUACAUAGGUCGCACAGCACCAGGCACUUGUUGAGGUUGAUAUACCAUUCCGUAAGGUCUAGGAACUGCGGCACCAAUAGGGACGGAAGGAAUCUCAACUUUUGCAACUUUGGCUAGAGACUCUUCCUCUGGCAGAAAACACAGCGUCAGUACACUAACUAAUGCAAAAUAAAGAAGAUGACAUGAACAGUAAUGCAAACAAUAAUACAUGUCAAGUUGUCAAGUCCAUUUACCUUCUUCUCCGUAGUGAGCAGCCAAGAGAUGAGGUGGGAUUCCUUGCAUUCCGUAUAUUUCAAUAUCAGUUGAAUCUCGACCGUCUUUAGCAUUAGGAACCCUAAUGGGAAAACAUAUCAAAGUUAGAGCAGUGUAUGAAAUCAGAAGAUGUGAUGUGAGAACUAUAACAUUAUGCAUCAUCUCUAGCUACAAGCCCAAGCCCAAGCAAGAACAGCUACUAAAAGGAUCAAUUACCCUUUUUAAUACACCCAACCAAACCAAGACUUAAAAUUCGAUAUGCAAACACAUUGAACCCCCUUGAAAUCUCCCUAUCAAACAAUCAAAAGAGUGGUCCUUUCCGAUAAUGCAAUAAAGAUUCAAUUUUUUAAAUAGAAAUCAAAAGAUGAUCAGGCACAUACUUUGUAACGUUCUCUUUAUGAACCUGAAGGACAUGAAUGACCAUUCCGCUAGCUGUAGGAUGAUACCCUAAAUGGGCAGGUGGAUGAACAGAAACCGCUGGAUUAUGUGGAUACCAUUGUUGCGGUGGAGGAGGCAUAGGCCAUGCAGGACCAGGAGGCCGAAUAGAAGCACCGGGAUAGUAC